UUUGGUCUUUGACUUUUUGAAGUGCAGCAGUGUGGUUAGGAGUUCUAUGAACAGUGUUUGCAAGGGCCUUGCCAAAACUCAAAGUCCUCUCUCAUCACAUGGAUGCAACUAUUAACUGGAAACUUGAGAACACCGCAUCUGGAAAAUUUCAAAAGUUAUAGUGUAAUUUUCACCUAAUGGUAACUUAGAAUUCUGAGUAAAAGAGCGAAUUUGAGUAAAUGUAUCUAACUCUUCUAGACAACUUUU
RNAcentral lists this long non-coding RNA (246 nucleotides) under Homo sapiens (human). RNAcentral describes it as "HSALNT0159428". Lineage: Eukaryota; Metazoa; Chordata; Mammalia; Primates; Hominidae. The record is from RNAcentral.